This is a non-coding RNA of Podarcis lilfordi (Lilford's wall lizard), 72 nucleotides long. The record is from the annotation of a GenBank genome assembly. Lineage: Eukaryota; Metazoa; Chordata; Lepidosauria; Squamata; Lacertidae.
AGGGGUGUAGCUCAGAGGCAGACCACCUGCUUUGCAUGCAGAAGGUCCCAGGUUCAAUCCCCAGCAUCUCCA